RNAcentral lists this ribosomal RNA (154 nucleotides) under uncultured Azotobacter sp. Its description in RNAcentral is "partial 16S ribosomal DNA". It matches the Rfam family "Bacterial small subunit ribosomal RNA", at positions 379 to 528 of the family's 1533-position model. Lineage: Bacteria; Pseudomonadati; Pseudomonadota; Gammaproteobacteria; Pseudomonadales; Pseudomonadaceae. The record is from RNAcentral.
GCAGCUGAUCAGCCAUGCCGCGUGAGUGAGAAGGUCUUCGGAUUGUAAGCUCUUUAAGUCGGGAGGAAGGGCAGUAGGUUAAUACCUUGCUGCCUUGACCUUACCGACAGAAUAAGCACCGGCUAACUUCGUGCCAGCAGCCGCGGUAAUACAA